UACGUAGGUGGCAAGCGUUGUCCGGAAUUAUUGGGCGUAAAGCGCGCGCAGGCGGUUUAAUAAGUCUGAUGUGAAAGCCCACGGCUCAACCGUGGAAGGUCAUUGGAAACUGGUAAACUUGAGUGCAGUAGAGAAUAGUGGAAUUCCAAGUGUAGCGGUGAAAUGCGUAGAGAUUUGGAGGAACACCAGUGGCGAAGGCGGCUUUUUGGCCUGUAACUGACACUGAGGUGCGAAAGCGUGGGGAGCAAACAGG
RNAcentral lists this ribosomal RNA (253 nucleotides) under uncultured bacterium. RNAcentral's name for it is "partial 16S ribosomal RNA". It matches the Rfam family "Bacterial small subunit ribosomal RNA", at positions 524 to 776 of the family's 1533-position model. The record is from RNAcentral.